Molecule: ribosomal RNA, 2901 nt
Filed under: Proteus mirabilis
Lineage: Bacteria; Pseudomonadati; Pseudomonadota; Gammaproteobacteria; Enterobacterales; Morganellaceae
Description: 23S ribosomal RNA
Rfam family: Bacterial large subunit ribosomal RNA
Source: RNAcentral
GGUUAAGCGAAUAAGCGUACACGGUGGAUGCCUAGGCAAUCAGAGGCGAUGAAGGACGUGCUAAUCUGCGAAAAGCGUCGGUAAGGUGAUAUGAACCGUUAUACCCGACGAUAUCCGAAUGGGGAAACCCAGUAUCCAAUGGAUACUAUCAUUAACUGAAUCCAUAGGUUAAUGAGGCGAACCGGGAGAACUGAAACAUCUCAGUACCCCGAGGAAAAGAAAUCAACCGAGAUUCCCCUAGUAGCGGCGAGCGAACGGGGAGCAGCCCAGAGUCUUAAUCAAUAACAGUGUCAGGAGAACGGUCUGGAAAGUCCGGCAGUAAAGGGUGAUAGCCCCGUAUCUGAAGAUGCUGUUAUUGUGAACUCGACGAGUAGGGCGGGACACGUGUUAUCCUGUCUGAAUAUGGGGGGACCAUCCUCCAAGGCUAAAUACUCCUGAUUGACCGAUAGUGAACCAGUACCGUGAGGGAAAGGCGAAAAGAACCCCGGCGAGGGGAGUGAAAAAGAACCUGAAACCGUGUACGUACAAGCAGUAGGAGCCUCUUUAUGGGGUGACUGCGUACCUUUUGUAUAAUGGGUCAGCGACUUAUAUUCUGUAGCAAGGUUAACCGUAUAGGGGAGCCGUAGGGAAACCGAGUCUUAACUGGGCGAAUGAGUUGCAGGGUAUAGACCCGAAACCCGGUGAUCUAUCCAUGGGCAGGUUGAAGGUUGGGUAACACUAACUGGAGGACCGAACCGACUAAUGUUGAAAAAUUAGCGGAUGACUUGUGGAUGGGGGUGAAAGGCCAAUCAAACCGGGAGAUAGCUGGUUCUCCCCGAAAGCUAUUUAGGUAGCGCCUCGUGAACUCAUCUUCGGGGGUAGAGCACUGUUUCGACUAGGGGGUCAUCCCGACUUACCAACUCGAUGCAAACUGCGAAUACCGAAGAAUGUUAUCACGGGAGACACACGGCGGGUGCUAACGUCCGUCGUGAAGAGGGAAACAACCCAGACCGCCAGCUAAGGUCCCAAAGUCAUGGUUAAGUGGGAAACGAAGUGGGAAGGCUCAGACAGCCAGGAUGUUGGCUUAGAAGCAGCCAUCAUUUAAAGAAAGCGUAAUAGCUCACUGGUCGAGUCGGCCCGCGCGGAAGAUGUAACGGGGCUAAACCAUGCACCGAAGCUGCGGCAGCGACACAAAGUGUUGUUGGGUAGGGGAGCGUUCUGUAAGCCUGCGAAGGUGUACUGUGAGGUAUGCUGGAGGUAUCAGAAGUGCGAAUGCUGACAUAAGUAACGAUAAUGCGGGUGAAAAACCCGCACGCCGGAAGACCAAGGGUUCCUGUCCAACGUUAAUCGGGGCAGGGUGAGUCGACCCCUAAGGCGAGGCUGAAAAGCGUAGUCGAUGGGAAACGGGUUAAUAUUCCCGUACUGGUGGUAACUGCGAUGGGGGAACGGAGAAGGCUAGGUUGUCCGGGCGACGGUCGUCCCGGUUCAAGCAGGUAGGCAGAGUGAUUAGGCAAAUCCGGUCACUUAAUGCUGAGAUGUGAUGACGAACCACCAAGGUGGUGAAGCAAUUGAUGCCCCGCUUCCAGGAAAAGCCUCUAAGCUUCAGGUUACCAACAAUCGUACCCCAAACCGACACAGGUGGUCAGGUAGAGAAUACUCAGGCGCUUGAGAGAACUCGGGUGAAGGAACUAGGCAAAAUGGUGCCGUAACUUCGGGAGAAGGCACGCUGGCGGUAGGUAAAGUCCCUCGCGGACAGAGCUGAAGCCAGUCGAAGAUACCAGCUGGCUGCAACUGUUUAUUAAAAACACAGCACUGUGCAAACACGAAAGUGGACGUAUACGGUGUGACGCCUGCCCGGUGCUGGAAGGUUAAUUGAUGGGGUUAGCGCAAGCGAAGCUCCUGAUCGAAGCCCCAGUAAACGGCGGCCGUAACUAUAACGGUCCUAAGGUAGCGAAAUUCCUUGUCGGGUAAGUUCCGACCUGCACGAAUGGCGUAAUGAUGGCCAGGCUGUCUCCACCCGAGACUCAGUGAAAUUGAACUCGCUGUGAAGAUGCAGUGUACCCGCGGCAAGACGGAAAGACCCCGUGAACCUUUACUAUAGCUUGACACUGAACAUUGAGCCUUGAUGUGUAGGAUAGGUGGGAGGCUUUGAAGUGUGGACGCCAGUCUGCAUGGAGCCAACCUUGAAAUACCACCCUUUAACGUUUGAUGUUCUAACCUAGGCCCAUAAACUGGGUCGGGGACCGUGUCUGGUGGGUAGUUUGACUGGGGCGGUCUCCUCCUAAAGAGUAACGGAGGAGCACGAAGGUUGGCUAAGCAUGGUCGGACAUCAUGCGGUUAGUGCAAAGGCAUAAGCCAGCUUGACUGCGAGAGUGACGGCUCGAGCAGGUACGAAAGUAGGUCUUAGUGAUCCGGUGGUUCUGAAUGGAAGGGCCAUCGCUCAACGGAUAAAAGGUACUCCGGGGAUAACAGGCUGAUACCGCCCAAGAGUUCAUAUCGACGGCGGUGUUUGGCACCUCGAUGUCGGCUCAUCACAUCCUGGGGCUGAAGUAGGUCCCAAGGGUAUGGCUGUUCGCCAUUUAAAGUGGUACGCGAGCUGGGUUUAGAACGUCGUGAGACAGUUCGGUCCCUAUCUGCCGUGGGCGUUGGAAGAUUGAGAGGGGUUGCUCCUAGUACGAGAGGACCGGAGUGAACGCACCACUGGUGUUCGGGUUGUCAUGCCAAUGGCAUUGCCCGGUAGCUAAGUGCGGAAGAGAUAACCGCUGAAAGCAUCUAAGCGGGAAACUUGCCUCGAGAUGAGUCUUCCCUGUCGCUUUAAGCGACCUAAAGGAACGUUUAAGACUAAGACGUUGAUAGGCUGGGUGUGUAAGCGUAGCGAUACGUUGAGCUAACCAGUACUAAUGAACCGUGAGGCUUAACCUG